AUCCUGACACAGGAAGUCAUGGUUUGGGAAGUGGGCUUUAAACAUUGUUCUUCUCCCUAGGUCUGGCUCCUAAGAUGCAGAUGUGCUGAGUCUCUUGCCCCACCCCCAAGCUGACUCUGGAAUUGGGAUGUAUAAUCAGGUGGUUUAUUGAGAUGAACUCUCAGAUUAAUACCUAAGAGUGUGUACAGGGAGCAGGACCCACAGAGGGAGAAGUAGACGGACUUGCAGUCAGCACGAGGAGACUCCUCGGAUCUCACGCCGAGCCCUGAAGCUGGAACGCCCUUCAGAGUCACUCCAAAUUGUGGAGCAGAGACCAGGCCUUACUCACUCCCUGAGCAGUCUUUGGAUGUGGGCUGCACAUCUUAGAAGAGCAGAACCUUGGGAGAGUAGCUCUCUUGAUCUGAGGCCAGUCCGUGGUCACUGCACUAGUCUGCAUCUCCCGGGAACUUGUUAGAAAUGUUCAUUCUUGUGUGCCAUCCCAGACCUUCUGAAUCAGGAACUCUGAGGGUCAAGUGUUUACAGACAAGAGUAGAGAAAAAGGGAAACUCAUCAAACAAAUAAUGACAUAAGUAGAGAGGUCUGGCACAUUGAUGUUAUCACCAGAUACGGCUUCAUAGGAAGGAGCAGAGCACAGUGAAGUUCAUGGCUAUGGCGGCCGCUGUAGAGUCCAGCUGCACCCUCAGGAAAGCUGCAAAUGUCAGAACACCGAGUACACCAGGAUCCUGCUCCCAUGAUCCUCAUGGCUUAACUCUCUAUGGCAAGCAAGAAAAAAAAUCUCAAUCCUGUCAAUUGUAUUUAUU
RNAcentral lists this long non-coding RNA (800 nucleotides) under Callithrix jacchus (white-tufted-ear marmoset). Its description in RNAcentral is "lncRNA (ENSCJAG00000059338.2)". Lineage: Eukaryota; Metazoa; Chordata; Mammalia; Primates; Cebidae. The record is from RNAcentral.